Molecule: ribosomal RNA, 253 nt
Filed under: uncultured bacterium
Lineage: Bacteria
Description: partial 16S ribosomal RNA
Rfam family: Bacterial small subunit ribosomal RNA
Source: RNAcentral
UACGGAGGGUGCAAGCGUUAUCCGGAUUCACUGGGUUUAAAGGGUGCGUAGGCGGAAUAAUAAGUCAGAGGUGAAAGCCUACAGCUUAACUGUAGAAUUGCCUUUGAUACUGUUGUUCUUGAGUACAUUUGAUGUGGGCGGAAUGUGUCAUGUAGCGGUGAAAUGCCUAGAUAUGACACAGAACACCGAUUGCGAAGGCAGCUCACAAAACUGUUACUGACGCUGAGGCACGAAAGCGUGGGGAUCAAACAGG